CCCUUAGAUGUUCUGGGCCGCACGCGCGCUACACUGACGAAGUCAGCGAGCAUGUCCUACGCCGACAGGUGCGGGGAAUCUUGUCAAACUUCGUCGUGAUGGGGAUUGAUUAUUGAAAUUCUUGAUCAUCAACGAGGAAUUCCUAGUAAGCGCAAGUCAGCAGCUUGCGUUGAUUACAUCCCUGCCCUUUGUACACACCGCCCGUCGCUACUACCGAUUGAAUGGUUUAGUGAGAUCUUCGGAUUGGCGCCACUGCGGCUCAGCAAUGGGCUCGGUGGAUGCCGAAAAGUUGAUCAAACUUGAUCAUUUAGAGGAAGUAAAAGUCGUAACA
This 331-nucleotide ribosomal RNA is filed under the name uncultured eukaryote. Its description in RNAcentral is "partial 18S ribosomal RNA". It matches the Rfam family "Eukaryotic small subunit ribosomal RNA", at positions 1470 to 1796 of the family's 1831-position model. The record is from RNAcentral.